Molecule: long non-coding RNA, 1357 nt
Filed under: Mytilus galloprovincialis (Mediterranean mussel)
Lineage: Eukaryota; Metazoa; Mollusca; Bivalvia; Mytilida; Mytilidae
Source: RNAcentral
UCUUUGUGCUCAUCAAUAAUUUUAAAAUUUAUUCUAUCUUUUAUCCAUAUUGCUACUCCGCGUGAAUUACUUGUACCAUCACUUCUGAAAAUGUUUUUACCAAGUUCUUUAGACAAAGUAUCUUGCAUUUGUUUAGUAAAAUGAGUUUCCUGUAUAAAAGUUAUAUCACAUUUUUGUUGAUUUGCCCAACUUACUAUUUUAUUAUUUUUUCAGGUUGCUGUAGCCAUUAGCAUUGACCGUACAAAUAUGCAAAUAGUUUUUCAUGGUGGUUUAUAGUUGGAUAUUUUAAAUUUCAUACAAUAGCAUGGUGAGUUAUCUUUCUUACCAUUAAUAAUGAAGCAUUUAGUAUUGGUUUUCUUUAUUGUUAUUUUGUUAUUUCUUUUGACUGACUUAAAACUAAAUUCUUUUAGUCUUGUUUCUGUACAAGAAGAGUUAUUUAUAGGGCAGUUUACAUACUGAUAUAGCAUUUGUUUUACCUGAGAAAUACCGUUAUACGCCUCACUGAUUGCGAUUGGUUUUUCAGAUCGUGGGUAUUUAAACGAUGAAUUUAGGUCUGUGUUUGUUUUUUUCUCAAGUAAUACCGGUUUGUUUACUAUCUCUAUGUUUAUAGUCGGUGUAUUCCUGAUUAAUAUUUUUAGUAGUUUAUUUUCCCGUACCGUAAAAUGUAUUAUUUUAUCGAUCUUUUCCAUAAUUAGCAUUAAUAACCUAUUCUCAUGAUGAUUAUAUUCGUCAAGUAUAUGGUGUUUAUUUUGGAAUAGGUUUAGACUUUCGCUGUCCAGGUACGCUUGCUCUCUACUUUUAGUUUUGUACGUUCUAUAUUUUGACCUCAACGUUAAAGUAUUUAUAGAAUUUCUGGUCAAGGUUAUUUCAUCCGCUUUUGUUGGGGACUUUUUAAGAUGGAUUAAUAUGUUUUCUCGAUCAGGAUGUUUAGUAGCAGAUGGUAAAUACUUUAAUUUAAUAUUAUAGUAACAUGACAUAAGUAUUAUCAUCGACAUGACUAGAUUCUCUAGUACACAAUAAAAAAAAUUUGCCACUUUAUUAAAUACACAUACAGUAAUGUACUUUUUCUUUUUAUUUGUCUUUUUCUUUUUCAGGAUAAAACUUUCAUGAAGAACAGACCAUUUCUGAUCUUCAUUAUUGGAAUUGAUUAGACUAUCUGUCAGUCUGGAUAUUUUAAGUGGACAACCUUCAUCAGCUGUGUCACAUAACAACAAACAUUUUGAGACAUAUCUCGAAUAAUAUAUACAGUUAAAAAUAAAUGAAAUCAGUGCUAUACAUACUGUUUUGUGAAAAAUAUGAUUGACAAAAUGCAUUUUUUUUUUUUUUUAUAAUUUAAAAUAAAAGAGUUCUAGUCUUA